This 255-nucleotide ribosomal RNA is filed under the name uncultured bacterium. RNAcentral describes it as "partial 16S ribosomal RNA". It matches the Rfam family "Bacterial small subunit ribosomal RNA", at positions 57 to 305 of the family's 1533-position model. The record is from RNAcentral.
GCAAGUCGAACGAGAACGGGUCUUAGCUUGCUAAGAUUGUCAGCUAAGUGGCGCACGGGUGAGUAAUAUAUAGGUAACAUGCCUUCGAGAAGGGGAUAACGUUUGGAAACGGACGCUAAUACCCUAUAUGCCUUUAAGACUUAAGUCUGCAAGGGAAAUAUUUAUAGCUCGAAGAUUGGCCUGUACAGUAGCAGUUAGGUGGUGAGGUAAUGGCUAACCAAGACAAUGACGCUGAGCUGGUUUGAGAGGAUGAUC